Molecule: small RNA, 85 nt
Filed under: Arabidopsis thaliana (thale cress)
Lineage: Eukaryota; Viridiplantae; Streptophyta; Magnoliopsida; Brassicales; Brassicaceae
Description: ATSL054120
Source: RNAcentral
AAACUAGAUUUUAACCGCGGUAUAUCGCGGGACGAUUUAUUUUUUAAAAGUAAUAUAUAUUAAAACUUGCAAAUUUUAUUUUUAU